AUACGUAGGGGGCGAGCGUUGUCCGGAAUCACUGGGCGUAAAGGGAGCGUAGGCGGCUCUGUAAGUCAGAUGUUAAAGGCAUUGGCUCAACCAAUGUAAGCAUUUGAAACUGCAGGGCUUGAGUACAGGAGAGGAGAGUGGAAUUCCUAGUGUAGCGGUGAAAUGCGUAGAUAUUAGGAGGAACACCAGUGGCGAAGGCGACUCUCUGGACUGUUACUGACGCUGAGGCUCGAAAGCGUGGGGAGCAAACAGGAUUAGAUACCCUGGUAGUCCACGCCGUAAACGAUGAGUGCUAGGUGUUGGGGCCGACAGGUUUCAGUGCCGCAGUUAACACAUUAAGCACUCCGCCUGGGGAGUACGAUCGCAAGAUUGAA
RNAcentral lists this ribosomal RNA (374 nucleotides) under uncultured bacterium. RNAcentral describes it as "bacterial SSU rRNA". It matches the Rfam family "Bacterial small subunit ribosomal RNA", at positions 523 to 898 of the family's 1533-position model. The record is from RNAcentral.